AAAGUUGAAUAAUAAGGGGUGGUGUUUGGUUUUCUGUUCCUGCAUUAGUUUGCUGGGAAUAGUGGCUUCCAACUCCAUCCAUGUCCUUGCAAAGGAUGUGAUCUCAUUCCUUUUUAUGGCAACAUAGUAUUGCAUGUACCACAUUUUCUUUAUCCAGUCUAUUGUUGAUGGGCAUUUAGGUUGAUUCCAUGACUUUCCUACUGUAAAUAGUGCUGCAAGGAACAUAUG
RNAcentral lists this long non-coding RNA (228 nucleotides) under Homo sapiens (human). Its description in RNAcentral is "HSALNT0364113". The record is from RNAcentral. Lineage: Eukaryota; Metazoa; Chordata; Mammalia; Primates; Hominidae.